GUGCUUGCUUCGGCAGCACAUAUACUAAAAUUGGAACGAUAUAGAGAAGAUUAGCAUGGCCCCUGCUCAAGGAUGACAUGCAAAUUCGUGAAGCGUUCCCUAUUUUU
This 107-nucleotide small nuclear RNA is filed under the name Nannospalax galili (Upper Galilee mountains blind mole rat). The record is from RNAcentral. Lineage: Eukaryota; Metazoa; Chordata; Mammalia; Rodentia; Spalacidae.